RNAcentral lists this ribosomal RNA (460 nucleotides) under uncultured bacterium. RNAcentral's name for it is "partial 16S ribosomal RNA". It matches the Rfam family "Bacterial small subunit ribosomal RNA", at positions 338 to 795 of the family's 1533-position model. The record is from RNAcentral.
CCUACGGGUGGCAGCAGUGAGGAAUAUUGGUCAAUGGACGAGAGUCUGAACCAGCCAAGUAGCGUGAAGGAUGACUGCCCUAUGGGUUGUAAACUUCUUUUAUAUGGGAAUAAAAUGUUCCACGUGUGGGAUUUUGUAUGUACCAUAUGCAUAAGGAUCGGCUAACUCAGUGCCAGCAGCCGCGGUAAUACGGAGGAUCCGAGCGUUAUCCGGAUUUAUUGGGUUGAAAGGGAGCGUAGGUGGAUUGUUAAGUCAGUUGUGAAAGUUUGCGGCUCAACCGUAAAAUUGCAGUUGAAACUGGCAGUCUUGAGUACAGUAGAGGUGGGCGGAAUUCGUGGUGUAGCGGUGAAAUGCUUAGAUAUCACGAAGAACUCCGAUUGCGAAGGCAGUUCACUGGACUGCAACUGACACUGAGGCUCGAAAGUGUGGGUAUCAAACAGGAUUAGAUACCCUUGUAGUC